CAAUAGCGUAUAUUAAAGUUGUUGCGGUUAAAAAGCUCGUAGUUGGAUUUCUGCUGAGAACGACCGGUCCGCCCUCUGGGUGUGUAUCUGGCUCUUUCUUGGCAUCUUCUUGGUGAACGUUGCUGCACUUGACUGUGUGGAGCGCUACCCAGGACUUUUACUUUGAGGAAAUUAGAGUGUUUCAAGCAGGCAUACGCCUUGAAUACAUUAGCAUGGAAUAAUAAGAUAGGACCUCGGUUCUAUUUUGUUGGUUUCUAGAGCUGAGGUAAUGAUUAAUAGGGAUAGUUGGGGGCAUUCGUAUUUAACUGUCAUAGGUGAAAUUCUUGGAUUUGUUAAAGACGGACUACUGCGAAAGCAUUUGCCAAGGAUGUUUUCAUUGA
This 380-nucleotide ribosomal RNA is filed under the name uncultured eukaryote. RNAcentral describes it as "partial 18S ribosomal RNA". It matches the Rfam family "Eukaryotic small subunit ribosomal RNA", at positions 592 to 976 of the family's 1831-position model. The record is from RNAcentral.